Molecule: long non-coding RNA, 801 nt
Organism: Cercocebus atys (sooty mangabey)
Lineage: Eukaryota; Metazoa; Chordata; Mammalia; Primates; Cercopithecidae
Exons: 2
Source: RefSeq, a predicted model, not a curated record
AUCUCCUGACCUCAUGAUCCACCCGCCUUGGGCUCCCAAAGUGCUGGGAUUACAGGUGUGAGCCACUGCGCCUGUCCGGAACUGCCACCUUUUUCAAUCUGAUCCUGAUUACAUUUCCCUUCCACAUCCUGCCCUACAUCUGAUGUACUAUGCAUUCUAUUUAUUUUCAUGUAUCCCUCAUGCUGUUCCCUCUAGCCUCCUAUGCUCAUUCCAACUCUUCUAUCAAAAUCAUGCAUAUCCUUCUAAGUGUAAGCCAGGUACAACAGACAUGAAGCCUUUCCUGAUUUCCUAGUCAGAAGUAAUCACUCCUGCAGUCAGGACAAACUGGUCCUAUCCCUGUUUAAUAUUUACUUCGUGGUUUUAUGAUGGAAAUAACUACAUUUCUGUUUUCCCAUUAGAAUGCAAGCUCCUGGAGAGCAUCGAUUGUGACUUUGUGUCUACCUCACAGGGCCUGCCACUUAGUAGGUGCCCAAAAGACGUUUGUUCACCCUGGGCUUGCCUUUCCUGUCCUGGAAAAGGAAACCAAAAUCAUGGUACUCUGAAGACCAGAGAUGUGAAUCUCCCUCAUUUGGCAUCCCACUGGGCUGGAUCUGUUAUUCACUGAAAAUGCCCUGCUGCUAAGACUAUAUAAGCACCCUCUCUCUAAGCCCAGGGACUGUUGUGGACGAGGUGGAUGCGUGAGAUGGUUAAGGGUUGGUUUUAAGGGAUAGAAUUAGGUUAAGGUCAGGCCCUCCAAAUCAAGGAUGAGUACAAAAACAUGUAAACAGAUGGUAAAAUAAAGUACUUUGUCUUCUGAAGCUA